CGAGACGACGCUGGCGGCGCGCCUAACACAUGCAAGUCGAACGGAGCUGAGAGGAGCUUGCUUUUCUCAGCUUAGUGGCGAGCGGGUGAGUAACGCGUGAGUAACCUGCCCUGGAGUGGGGGACAACAGUUGGAAACGACUGCUAAUACCGCAUAAGCCCACGGAUCCGCAUGGAUCUGCGGGAAAAGGAUUUAUUCGCUUCAGGAUGGACUCGCGUCCAAUUAGCUAGUUGGUGAGGUAACGGCCCACCAAGGCGACGAUUGGUAGCCGGACUGAGAGGUUGAACGGCCACAUUGGGACUGAGACACGGCCCAGACUCCUACGGGAGGCAGCAGGUGGGGGAUAUUGCACAAUGGGGAAACCCUGAUGCAGCGACGCCGCGUGGAGGAAGAAGGUUUUCGGAUUGUAAACUCCUGUCGUUAGGGACGAUAAUGACGGUACCUAACAAGAAAGCACCGGCUAACUACGUG
RNAcentral lists this ribosomal RNA (470 nucleotides) under uncultured bacterium. Its description in RNAcentral is "bacterial SSU rRNA". It matches the Rfam family "Bacterial small subunit ribosomal RNA", at positions 33 to 507 of the family's 1533-position model. The record is from RNAcentral.